RNAcentral lists this RNase P RNA (390 nucleotides) under Limisphaerales bacterium. RNAcentral's name for it is "Verrucomicrobia subdivision 3 bacterium (sediment metagenome) RNase P RNA component class A". It matches the Rfam family "Bacterial RNase P class A". From Rfam's summary of the family: Ribonuclease P (RNase P) is a ubiquitous endoribonuclease, found in archaea, bacteria and eukarya as well as chloroplasts and mitochondria. Its best characterised activity is the generation of mature 5'-ends of tRNAs by cleaving the 5'-leader elements of precursor-tRNAs. Lineage: Bacteria; Pseudomonadati; Verrucomicrobiota; Verrucomicrobiia; Limisphaerales. The record is from RNAcentral.
CCGGAGGGGCGGAGAAUCGCUUCCGGCGCAAGCCGGGGGAGGAAAGUCCGAACUCCGCAGGGCGCGAUGCCGCGUAACCCGCAAGGGAUACACGCGGGAGGAGGGCUGGAAGGCCCUUCGACGGACAGUGCCACAGAAAACAAACCGCCGACGGCCCGCAAGGGCCGCCGGCAAGGGUGAAAAGGUGCGGUAAGAGCGCACCGCGCCAAGCGCAAGCGAGGCGGCACGGAAAACCCCAUCGGGAGCAAGGCCAAAUAGGGGGCCGAUUGGAGCGGCCCGCUCCAUGUCCCGUUACGGCGGGACCGGCUCCGGGUAUCGGCCGCUCAGACAAAUGAUUCUCUCCGCCCGCAAGGGCGCAGACAGAAUUCGGCUUACAGCCCCUCCGGGACC